GAUGAAGAACGCAGCGAAAUGCGAUACGUAAUGUGAAUUGCAGAAUUCAGUGAAUCAUCGAGUCUUUGAACGCACAUUGCGCCCUCUGGUAUUCCGGAGGGCAUGCCUGUCCGAGCGUCAUUGCUGCCCUCAAGCACGGCUUGUGUGUUAGGCCCCGUCCUCCGCUCGCGGGGGACGGGCCUGAAAGGCAGCGGCGGCACCGCGUCCGGUCCUCGAGCGUAUGGGGCUUUGUCACCCGCUCUGUAGGCCCGGCCGGCGCCUGCCGAUCAACCACACUUUUAUUCAGGUUGACCUCGGAUCAGGUAGGGAUACCCGCUGAACUUAAGCAUAUCAAAAGCGGAGGA
This 344-nucleotide unclassified non-coding RNA is filed under the name soil metagenome. RNAcentral's name for it is "partial contains 5.8S ribosomal RNA, internal transcribed spacer 2, and large subunit ribosomal RNA". The stretch from base 1 to 120 matches the Rfam family "5.8S ribosomal RNA", at positions 35 to 154 of the family's 154-position model. The record is from RNAcentral.